UUUUUUUUUCAAUACUAAAAAUUUAUUUUUCCUUUAAUUACAGUACAUUUUAGUAUUUAACACCUCACUCUAAUAAUACACUCUGUAAACACUUUAUGAGUUAUUCAAUGCAUUGAAUGAAUGAUUUUUCCUUCUACAACACAUGUAAUGCAACAUAGACACACAAACCUACAAUAAACAAUAAUUCAUGGCAACAAGUUUCUAGUUUAUAAUAGGACUGGUCUACCCAUAAUGCUUUAGUUGUUGUAAUGCUCUAUCUCCCAUCAUCCUCACUAGGUUUUGGGCUUGUAGUACACCUCUCAAUAACUUCUAAACUCUUUAGCAAACUUUGAAGUUCAGGGAGUAGAGUGUGUAAUAAAUUACUCUAAAGAUUUUCAAUACCUUAGUUUUGUAGGCACCAGAUAUAGAUUUAUAUAUGCAUAUAUGUAUAUAAUAUAUGUAUAUAAUUUUUUUUUUUU
Non-coding RNA from Pelobates cultripes (western spadefoot toad), 458 nucleotides. The record is from the annotation of a GenBank genome assembly. Lineage: Eukaryota; Metazoa; Chordata; Amphibia; Anura; Pelobatidae.